GACAAAUCUUCCUCCAAUAAAUAAAUAAAUAAACAGAAUGAAAAAAUUUCAAACUUCUCAUUUCCGCAGUUAGGACUCACCUAAGACAGCAGAAUCAUGAAAGUGACAUGUCAGUGGAGAUGUGAUUAUCGACCUGUGAGCCCCUCAUCUAGAGUGAGAGGGAGCAUGGCAUGUGGUCCAUCUUCCUUGGGGUGCUCCAGAAUGGGCUGACAAAGGGCCGGAGAGCUGACAUAGCCCUGAGAUUCCUCCUUUUCCCUUUCCCUUUCCCGAGGGACAUCUGUGAGCAGGGAGUAGCUCAUGAGACCUCCUAACAUGAGGAGAAGGGCAUCUCAUUUGCUGAACUCCAGGUAUCUCCACCUGCAUCUCUGGGGACAGAAGAACAGGAGCAGCUCCCUCCUCACUUGGGCUUUGCCCUGUCUCCAUCCAUGGAGACUCAGUUAACUCUAAUCGGGCCAGAGAGCUUUGGGCUCCACCUCGCAGCCUCAGCCGCAGGAAGUCGUCAACCUUCACUAGGAGGACCCCC
RNAcentral lists this long non-coding RNA (523 nucleotides) under Equus caballus (horse). RNAcentral describes it as "lncRNA (ENSECAG00000046678.1)". Lineage: Eukaryota; Metazoa; Chordata; Mammalia; Perissodactyla; Equidae. The record is from RNAcentral.